AAAACAAUGAAGUACAGCCCUGCUUAGAGAAACUUGUGGUUUAGUCAGAAAGGCAGGAGGAUGAAAGAUAAGCAAUAUAAGGCAGUGUGUCAGUGGCAUAUGAUUUCUAUAGACAAUAUGUGCUCUAGGGUGGUGAAGAGUAGUCACUAGACUGGAAUGAUUGGAUUGGAAAAGGCUUCAUGGAAGAAGAAAACUCAGAUGAGCCUUGGUGAGUGGGUAGAAUUGGAUUGGUAGGAAUGGUUCAUGAACAAUGUUAUUGGAAGGUGAGAAAAGCUUGUUGGGUAACUAAAUUGGCCUGCCUGAAAUGAAAAAUUGGAGUUGGGAGUGAUGGGGCGAUAGUUGGAAAAGUAGCUUGUGGUCAAGCUUUGGAAACUUUAAAUGCCAGGCCAAGAUUUUGUUUGUUUGGUUGGUUUUGUUUUGUUUUGUUUUUGAGGACCCAAAGCAUCAGAAUUGUACAAACUAUUCUCUUUCCUAUUGCAUUUUCCCUUGAGAACAUGAACUGACAAGGAACAAGGUGAAGGAGUUUGACUGGACUUUAGGGAUAAUAUAACUCCCUUAAAAGAAGUGUUAAAAUGAAGGAGAGAUUUUACAAAUGGCAAGUAGCAUAAAAAAUGGGAAUUGUAAAGAAUUAGUAUAGAUGAUUUUUGACUGGGG
RNAcentral lists this long non-coding RNA (654 nucleotides) under Homo sapiens (human). RNAcentral describes it as "long non-coding RNA NONHSAT246759". The record is from RNAcentral. Lineage: Eukaryota; Metazoa; Chordata; Mammalia; Primates; Hominidae.